UGGACUGGCUGAGAGGUCGGGGUGCCCGAAAGGGAGCCAUAACACAGGUGCUGCAUGGCUGUCGUCAGCUCGUGUCGUGAGAUGUUGGGUUAAGUCCCGCAACGAGCGCAACCCUUGUCCCUAGUUGCUACGCAAGAGCACUCUAGGGAGACUGCCGGUGACAAACCGGAGGAAGGUGGGGAUGACGUCAAGUCCUCAUGGCCCUUAUGGGUAGGGCUUCACACGUCAUACAAUGGUCGGAACAGAGGGUCGCCAACCCGCGAGGGGGAGCCAAUCCCAGAAAACCGAUCGUAGUCCGGAUCGCACUCUGCAACUCGAGUGCGUGAAGCUGGAAUCGCUAGUAAUCGCGGAUCAGCAUGCCGCGGUGAAUA
Molecule: ribosomal RNA, 371 nt
Filed under: Burkholderia sp. RegSS2
Lineage: Bacteria; Pseudomonadati; Pseudomonadota; Betaproteobacteria; Burkholderiales; Burkholderiaceae
Description: bacterial SSU rRNA
Rfam family: Bacterial small subunit ribosomal RNA
Source: RNAcentral